Molecule: ribosomal RNA, 280 nt
Filed under: uncultured bacterium
Lineage: Bacteria
Description: partial 16S ribosomal RNA
Rfam family: Bacterial small subunit ribosomal RNA
Source: RNAcentral
UGCCAGCAGCCGCGGUAACACGUAGGGGGCGAGCGUUGUCCGGAAUUAUUGGGCGUAAAGAGCUCGUAGGCGGUUCGGUAAGUCAGGUGUGAGAACUCAAGGCUCAACCUUGAGACGCCACCUGAUACUGCCGUGACUUGAGUCCGGUAGAGGAGCGUGGAAUUCCUGGUGUAGCGGUGAAAUGCGUAGAUAUUUGGAGGAACACCAGUGGCGAAGGCGGCUCACUGGCUCGAUACUGACGCUGAGGUGCGAAAGUGUGGGGAGCAAACAGGAUUAGAUA